CCUACGUGAGGCUGCAGUGAGGAAUAUUCGUCAAUGGACGAGAGUCUGAACCAGCCACGUAGCGUGAAGGAUGACUGCCCUAUGGGUUGUAAACUUCUUUUAUAUGGGAAUAAAAUGUUCCACGUGUGGGAUUUUGUAUGUACCAUAUGAAUACGGAUCGGCUAACUCCAUGCCAGCCGCCGCGGUAAGACGGAGGCUGCGAGCGUUAUCCGGAUUUAUUGGGUUUAAAGGGAGCGUAGGUGGAUUGUUAAGUCAGUUUUGAAAGUUUGCGGCUCAACCGUAAAAUUGCAGUGGAAACUGGCAGUCUUGAGUACAGUAGAGGAGGGCGGAAUUCGUGGUGUAGCGGUGAAAUGCUUAGAUAUCACGAAGAACUCCGAUUGCGAAGGCAGUUCACUGGACUGUAACUGACACUGAGGCUCGAAAGUGUGGGUAUCAAACAGGAUUAGAUACCCGAGUAGUC
This 460-nucleotide ribosomal RNA is filed under the name uncultured bacterium. RNAcentral's name for it is "partial 16S ribosomal RNA". It matches the Rfam family "Bacterial small subunit ribosomal RNA", at positions 338 to 795 of the family's 1533-position model. The record is from RNAcentral.